Molecule: unclassified non-coding RNA, 2602 nt
Filed under: Hevea brasiliensis (rubber tree)
Lineage: Eukaryota; Viridiplantae; Streptophyta; Magnoliopsida; Malpighiales; Euphorbiaceae
Source: RNAcentral
CAAGCGGACUCGAAGGGAAAAAAAAAUCCUGGAAAAACAGUAACAUGCUCCAUCAAUGGUGAUCUAUAGAUCGCUAAGAACCCUAACCACUAAAAAUCAUAAUAAAAACAGGACUUUCUUAACUGCAGCAGCAACCUCUAUAAUCCCAUUUCCCUAUACUACUGCUACUUUACCGCUCCAGCCCUUGCAUUACUCUCCUUCUCCGCAUUCCCCUCCCCUCUUUUUCUCUCCUCUUUCCAAAUGGAUUGCUCCGUUUCAAAGUCAAGGGCGAGGCCCUCUCUUCCUCUCCUCGCCUCCCUGGAAGCUCUUGCAAUCUGCUACUCCGCUUUACCUCCGUGGAAAUGCCGUCGUUUUGAGGAAAGUUGAGGCGUUGAACUUGAAUUUGCUUAGGACUCGAAUCAGCUCGGGUUUGACCGGUCAAAGAGUGUUGGAUCGGGUCCAAGAGCUGAAGGAGGGUGUUGUCGAUGAUAGGUUUUUUGAGAGUUUUGUGAAUCUGCCUAAUUUCAUCUCUCUAACUCGUUUGGUCUCUGGGCCUCUGAUUGGAUGGUAUUCUUUUUUCUAUUUUUUAAAUUUUAUCUCGUUAUUUUUAUUUUUCGCACUUGGAUUGAAUGUACUUUCUGGUUGGAGUUGGAGUCUAAAACUUAACAUUCUUUGCUGGACUUGUAAAAUCAUAAGAUAAGCAAAAAGAUUCUGUGACUGUUAAUUAGUGAUUUCGCUGCAUAAUAGUUUCUAUGGUAAGAAACAAGCUGAUCAUAUCGAUGAGGAAAUGAGUAGAAUUAAGUUGAAGAUCCUAGCGAACAAUGUUGGAUGGUCAAGUUGUAUUUGUUGUAAGCCCUGUGAUGUUUUUUAAUUUUUGAUUUAGAUAAGGAUAAUUUGACUGAACAACUAUCAUUAAAUUUUAAUAUGAUGCCUAGACAACAGCUGCAAAACAGACUUCCUGUGCUUGAAGAUAGCUGGUAAGAUGUGCUGGAUUAUUCAGUGCAAUCUAAAACAAGCCUUUGUUGUUCCUUACAGUUUUUUGUUUUUAUUUGAAAUACCUUACAGAUAAUUAGGUACCUGUAGAUUGCUUCAAUGUGUCAUAUUUAGAAUGAUGAUUCACAACUUCUAUGCAGGAUGAUUACAAAUGAAAUGUAUUCUUCUGCAUUUGUGGGAUUGGUUCUCUCUGGGUCAACUGAUUGGGUAACCGUAACGAUUUAUGUAAUAACAAAUCAAAUUUAGAAUGUACAAAACUGAAUUUAGUUUACUUUUAUAUGUUGUAGCUAGAUGGUUACAUUGCCAGGAAAAUGAGAAUCAACUCUGUAGUGGGUUCCUACCUUGAUCCUCUUGCUGACAAGGUCCUUAUUGGAUCUGUUGCAUUGGCAAUGGUGCACAUGGAUCUUUUGCACCGUAAGUUGUCUUUCGUAAGUUGUCUUUGUUGUUAAGCUUAUAAUCUUGUAAUCUGAAAUGUGCGUGCAUGCAUGUGCAAUUAAAUUUUCUUAGCUUCAAAUUUUGGUAUUCUGCAUACUCAAUUUUUGAAUUGUCUGCUGCUGGUAUUUUGAAUUUUUAGAAUCAUUGGACCAAGUAUAAACCCUCUCAAAAUUUCUCAAAGAAGGGGAUGAAUAGGUUUCUUUCGUUAUUCUAUCCAUUGCUACUGGCUUGUGGCGUAACACAGCAAAUGUCUGGUUUGGUUAGUAGUUUGAGGGUGUUAUAUAUCAACCUAUGUAACAAUACUGUCAAACAGUUUAUUCAUGUGCACAAAGUGUUUUUAUUAAUAUGGUGGUUAAAUCACUCUUAUUAUGUUCUUGUUGUGUAAAGCUGGACUUGUUGGACUGGUUGUGUUGCGAGAUGUUGCACUUGUUGGUGGUGCGCUAUAUCAUAGAGCUACUAGUUUGGAUUGGAAGUUGAGUAGUUGGCAUGAUUUCUUUAAUCUUGAUGGAACCCACCGAGAGAAGGUUGAACCUCUCUUCAUAAGCAAGGUCAAUACGGUUUUCCAAUUGAUUUUAGUAGCAGCAGCCCUCCUUCAACCAGAGUUUGGAACUGAUGAAACUCAAUCAUGUAUAACAUACCUGAGCUGGUUGGUGGCUGCCACAACAGUGGCAUCUACAGCUGGAUAUGGAGCACAAUACAUGAGGAAUAAAUCAACAUUGCUUGCAAAGAAAUCAUAGCUUUGGUUUUGCAGCUCAAAUAUCUCAAACUGGAGGAAUUAUUUUGUGUCUUGAGUCCAGCAUUUGAAGUUUUUUGAGGAAAAACCAGGUAUCUGGGUUUGUCUGGAGAUGCAGACAAAAAGAAAUGCCAAACUUAGAGCUUAUUUGGUUCUCUUUGUCCUUCCAUAUUUGUAGAUUAGAUGCAGCUUUUGUGGCCAUGAGAUUUCUUGCUUUAUGGGUUUGGGGCAGGCAGGCAGCUUAGUGAACCGCUUGAGGCAGUGUUGAUGAUGUAUCUAUAUUGCUGAUUAAGCUACCUGAACUUGUAAAGAAUGUCUUUUCAUAUAGAGAAUUGUAAUCGAAUAGGAAAAUACGAGGCGUUUUUUGAAUUCAAAUCUAAGGGUAAUAAUUAAGAAGAUUUUUUUAUCUAUUUGCUCUGGAUUGAACUUGUAUACCACCUAAACGUUUUAUCUGUAAGUUUG